AGUGAACGCUGGCGGUAGGCCUAACACAUGCCAGUCGAACGGCAGCACAGUAAGAGCUUGCUCUUACGGGUGGCGAGUGGCGGACGGGUGAGGAAUACAUCGGAAUCUACUUUUUCGUGGGGGAUAACGUAGGGAAACUUACGCUAAUACCGCAUACGACCUACGGGUGAAAGCAGGGGAUCUUCGGACCUUGCGCGAUUGAAUGAGCCGAUGUCGGAUUAGCUAGUUGGCGGGGUAAAGGCCCACCAAGGCGACGAUCCGUAGCUGGUCUGAGAGGAUGAUCAGCCACACUGGAACUGAGACACGGUCCAGACUCCUACGGGAGGCAGCAGUGGGGAAUAUUGGACAAUGGGCGCAAGCCUGAUCCAGCCAUACCGCGUGGGUGAAGAAGGCCUUCGGGUUGUAAAGCCCUUUUGUUGGGAAAGAAAAGCAGCAGGUUAAUACCCCGCUGUGCUGACGGUACCCAAAGAAUAAGCACCGGCUAACUUCGUG
RNAcentral lists this ribosomal RNA (492 nucleotides) under uncultured bacterium. RNAcentral describes it as "partial 16S ribosomal RNA". It matches the Rfam family "Bacterial small subunit ribosomal RNA", at positions 29 to 507 of the family's 1533-position model. The record is from RNAcentral.